CUUUGACCUCCAGGUUUGUCACAGGCUUUGGUCGUCGUUGCUGUCGUACGGUCUCUUGCAUGCUGCAGCUGCAUUGUUACUGGCGUUAGGCAUCCACCUAGCAUGAGAAAUGGGAAGUGUACGGAGUGUGGAGUUCUUCACGCUGGACAAAGAGCCGGCUGCAGAGCUGAUCGCCGCCACAGUGGAGAGCAGUAUCCUGCCUCGUGACGAGCUUCUUCAGUAUAUCAAGGUAAGACAACAUUAACCCUUGUGCCCUCCUCAAAUGUAUUUAUAUUUUCUGCUGUGAAGUUAAACAACUUCUGACUUGCUCAAAACUACCAAACAUUCAAUUAUUUUCAGGAUUGUAACCCUUUAAAUGCUAAGUUAUUAGAUAAAAGGUGAUUAGAGUCUUGGAUAUGUGAAAGACUAACAACAAAGUUGAUUUGAUUGCAUUUGUCAUCAUCAAUUUUUCCUUUUGUAUAAAUUGCUGUUUUUUCUGCUGUUGUUUUCUGCUCUUUUUACGGCUUUUGAUGGUAGGGAAAGAGGGAGCCUGGUGAAAGACUGAGGGAGUCUGACUGAGUUCCUUUUUCCGACCUGGUCCCCCUGGACAAUUUUUUUUGACUACCUCGACCACUUUUUCGACCACUGUUACAAAAAACUCGGCAUCAUGAGCACGCCAUCUUCACUCACCAAGAAAACUGAGAAAUCCAGCCACUCUCCAUAUUACAAAAGAGCACCUUCAGACUCACUGCCCAGCACAGGUACAACUCCAUCCACAUCCCCGAACCCCCCUUGCAGAAUAAUACUCCUCUCAAUCGAAAAUAGAGCUCGCCAUUUUUAAGUUAAUAUGAAUCACUCUUAAAGUUGGAAAAAGUUGAGUUAACACAACAUUUUCCUAGACUUGAAGUAAAACUAACUUAGAACUUUAUGUUAUCAUGACUUUUUGUUUUUACAGUGCAUACCCAACUCUCUCUGUCCCUGAUUUCCAACUCUAUCAACUGUCCUAUCUCUACAAUAACGGCAUAAAAAGACACCAUUUUACAUCAGAAAACUCUACUUAGGCAUCUGACACACAAGACCAGAAAAAAGAAAAGGGGGCACCUCUCCACGGAGGUUGCCAAAAUUGACACAGACAGAAUGUUCCUCACAUGAGCUAAAAAUAAAAGUUUAGAAGACCCAACAACACACUAUCCAACAUGGUCUAACAGAAGAAAAACAAAUAAAUAGUUUGACAUUGACUACUAUAAAAUGAUAAAGACAAAUAGACAUGGAGAAAACAAUCAGUAACCUGAGUU
Long non-coding RNA from Labrus mixtus (cuckoo wrasse), 1274 nucleotides. RefSeq lists it as uncharacterized. The record is from RefSeq and is a predicted model, not a curated record. The transcript is spliced from 2 exons. NCBI's taxonomy places the organism in Eukaryota, Metazoa, Chordata, Actinopteri, Labriformes, Labridae.